Molecule: ribosomal RNA, 765 nt
Filed under: uncultured bacterium
Lineage: Bacteria
Description: bacterial SSU rRNA
Rfam family: Bacterial small subunit ribosomal RNA
Source: RNAcentral
AGUUGGCAGCUGGCAGACUUGAGUGCACAAGAGGAUGGUGGAAUUCAUGGUGUAGCGGUGAAAUGUUUAGAUAUCAUGAAGAACUCCGAUUGCGAAGGCAGCCAUCUGGGGUGCAACUGACACUGAGGCUCGAAAGUGUGGGUAUCGAACAGGAUUAGAUACCCUGGUAGUCCACACAGUAAACUAUGGAUACUCGCUGCCGGCGAUACACUGUCGGUGGCCUAGCGAAAGCGUUAAGUAUCCCACCUGGGGAGUACGCCGGCAACGGUGAAACUCAAAGGAAUUGACGGGGGCCCGCACAAGCGGAGGGACAUGUGGUUUAAUUCGAUGAUACGCGAGGAACCUCACCCAGGCUCGAACGGCAAGUUGAAGGUCGGUGGAGACACCUUCCGUCUUCGGACAAUUUGUCGAGGUGCUGCAUGGUUGUCGUCAGCUCGUGCCGUGAGGUGUCGGCUUAAGUGCCAUAACGAGCGCAACCCUUGCUGUCAGUUGCCAUCGGGUCAUGCCGGGCACUCUGGCGGGACUGCCAUCGCAAGAUGUGAGGAAGGUGGGGAUGACGUCAAAUCAGCACGGCCCUUACGUCUGGGGCUACACACGUGUUACAAUGGAGGGUACAGAGGGAUGCCACCUGGCGACAGGGCGCUGAUCCCGAAAUCCCUUCUCAGUUCGGAUUGGAGUCUGUAACCCGACUCCAUGAAGCUGGAUUCGCUAGUAAUCGCGCAUCAGCCAUGGCGCGGUGAAUACGUUCCCGGGCCUUGUACACAC